AUUGAACGCUGGCGGCAGGCUUAACACAUGCAAGUCGAGCGGUAGCACAAGAGAGCUUGCUCUCUGGGUGACGAGCGGCGGGCGGGGGGGUAAUGUCUGGGAAACUGCCUGAUGGAGGGGGAUAACUACUGGAAACGGUAGCUAAUACCGCAUAACGUCGCAAGACCAAAGAGGGGGACCUUCGGGCCUCUUGCCAUCAGAUGUGCCCAGAUGGGAUUAGCUAGUAGGUGGGGUAAUGGCUCACCUAGGCGACGAUCCCUAGCUGGUCUGAGAGGAUGACCAGCCACACUGGAACUGAGACACGGUCCAGACUCCUACGGGAGGCAGCAGUGGGGAAUAUUGCACAAUGGGCGCAAGCCUGAUGCAGCCAUGCCGCGUGUGUGAAGAAGGCCUUCGGGUUGUAAAGCACUUUCAGCGAGGAGGAAGGUGGUGAACUUAAUACGUUCAUCAAUUGACGUUACUCGCAGAAGAAGCACCGGCUAACUCCGUG
RNAcentral lists this ribosomal RNA (490 nucleotides) under uncultured bacterium. Its description in RNAcentral is "partial 16S ribosomal RNA". It matches the Rfam family "Bacterial small subunit ribosomal RNA", at positions 30 to 507 of the family's 1533-position model. The record is from RNAcentral.